RNAcentral lists this ribosomal RNA (472 nucleotides) under uncultured bacterium. Its description in RNAcentral is "bacterial SSU rRNA". It matches the Rfam family "Bacterial small subunit ribosomal RNA", at positions 355 to 825 of the family's 1533-position model. The record is from RNAcentral.
UGGGGAAUUUUGGACAAUGGGCGAAAGCCUGAUCCAGCAAUGCCGCGUGCAGGAUGAAGGCCUUCGGGUUGUAAACUGCUUUUGUACGGAACGAAACGGCGAGCUCUAAUAAAGUUUGCUAAUGACGGUACCGUAAGAAUAAGCACCGGCUAACUACGUGCCAGCAGCCGCGGUAAUACGUAGGGUGCGAGCGUUAAUCGGAAUUACUGGGCGUAAAGCGUGCGCAGGCGGUUAUAUAAGACAGAUGUGAAAUCCCCGGGCUCAACCUGGGACCUGCAUUUGUGACUGUAUAGCUAGAGUACGGUAGAGGGGGAUGGAAUUCCGCGUGUAGCAGUGAAAUGCGUAGAUAUGCGGAGGAACACCGAUGGCGAAGGCAAUCCCCUGGACCUGUACUGACGCUCAUGCACGAAAGCGUGGGGAGCAAACAGGAUUAGAUACCCAAGUAGUCCCUGAGCGGGCUGGCAAGGCGCAU